This 202-nucleotide microRNA precursor is filed under the name Oryza brachyantha (malo sina). RNAcentral describes it as "MIR812 microRNA precursor family". It matches the Rfam family "MIR812 microRNA precursor family". The record is from Rfam by way of RNAcentral. Lineage: Eukaryota; Viridiplantae; Streptophyta; Magnoliopsida; Poales; Poaceae.
CCUAUGUAUAUUUUUAUUGUUUAUGUUCGAUAUUUGAUCGUCCGUAUUUCUUAAAAAAGUUAUAUGAUGAGUAUUUUUAUUGUUACUAGAUGAUAAAACAUAAAUAAUAUUUUGUGUGACUAUUUUUCUUAUUUUUUUUAUAAAAUUUUUAAAUAAGACGAUCAAUCAAACAUUAGACACGAAAUCCCCGAAUGCAGUUAUA